CUUGCUUUUAAAAAAAAAAUUGCUGGAAAAAUUUUCUUUGGUCGUGUUUGCAGCUGAACCCGUGUCCACGUCACUCUCCCGCAACCGUAAUCCAACACGUCUGCAGCUCAUAAAUUCGUUUCCUCAUCCCGUUCGGAACCAAGUCCCAAAUUUCACGCGUCCGCCCCGCAUCUCUCCCCUGUUCCAUGACAGUCAUCCAGAACCAAAUCUAGAUUAAAACAUAAGAAUCCCAGCUCACGGAAUAGAGCCGUGUCCACGGGAUGCUUCCCAGCGAAUCCAACAAGUCUCACACAACCUUAUCCCAAAAAGCAGAGCCAUUCCGCAUCUAAAGAACAAGCUCACUGAUCCGGAUUUGUCCCAGAUUUCCUUCCAUUCGUGAUAGCCUUCAUCACCCACGGAUCUUCCCAGCAUCUUCCUAACCUUCCACGACAUUCCUUCUCCGAAUUUCCCAGCUUCUCCCGCUAGAUCCCCUCCACGGAUAAGCUCUCAACAACGUCCACAAACAGAAUCCCUGUUUCAAGAUCGCAAUUCAUCCUCAUCCCUUCUCAGCCGUGGGCAACAUUCUAGCUUCCACGUCUCCGCGUUCAUCCUCAUCUUCCCAGCACUUUCCAAUCUUUCCGUGAUCCAUUCUCAUCUUCCUCUCUCCCACUGCAUCCAGCUCACGGUUCAUCACUUCUUCCCAACCAUUUCCCAUCAUCUGCGGAGGAGAUCAAGCCUUCACAGAAUCCCCUGUUUCAAGAUUUCAUCCCGUACACUGCAUCCAUGCCAUCCUCUUCUUCUGUUCGCUCCCAGCAAAUCUUCACACCUCAACCUCAUAAUCAGUCCGGAUUGGCUUUGUUCCCCCCAGAUUCUGAAAUCACCUCCCACGAUUCUCUACUCCGGAUUAACUCCAUCAUCCACGGGCAGAACAGAGUUAUCCUCUCAAAACAGCAUCCCAUCAUCUUCAUCUCUAUCCCACGGCCAGCCGGAUUCCCACGCUUCCUCUGUGCAUCUCAGCAUGAUCCAUCCUUAUCCACUGCUAACCGAGUCCCAAGCUUGAUCCCGUUCAUGAUGACCAUCCAGGAUCCAUGACAGCAUCCCGAGCUUCACGGGUCACCUUCUAUCCAGCCUCUUCCGAAUCAUUCCGGAUCAUCCUUCCAGCGGAACAGAGGCCGAGUCUUCCCAUCCUUAUCCCAGAACAGUUGUAUCCUUCUCCCAAACCAAAUCCAAAGCCCGUCCCAGCCUCCCUCCGGAUUGUGUUCGUGAUCUAUCUUCAUCCCACGACCGCAUCAAAUCCCCUGCAUCUUGGAUUACAAGCUUAUCCCCUGCUUCGGAACCAACUCUCAACAUCUUCAUCUCCACCGUGUUGAACCAACAUCAGCAACUUCCGGAUUUCUCCCAACGUCCAAGUUCAUCCAAGCUGCCAGCCGAAUCCAGUUGUUCCCAGUUCCAAUCCAGCAUCAGAUCGAGCCUCAUCCUUAUCCUCCACUCGGAAAAAGGGAAGAAGUAGAGACUGCAGCCUAUAAAAGUCCCACGGUGAACAGAGGAGGGAAUCCUUUCGGAGGAGAUCCCAUCCAUUAGUUCUUCGGGAAGUCCCACGGGAAACAGAGAAGAAAAGAGGAGUUUUGAAGAGACGCUGGGAGCGGGCGAACGUGGAAGGGAAGCAGAG
Phoenix dactylifera (date palm) is the source of this 1648-nucleotide non-coding RNA. The record is from RefSeq and is a predicted model, not a curated record. Lineage: Eukaryota; Viridiplantae; Streptophyta; Magnoliopsida; Arecales; Arecaceae.